RNA transcript from Panicum virgatum (switchgrass), 1971 nucleotides. It is a transcript of the gene named pyridoxal phosphate homeostasis protein-like, with no coding region annotated. The record is from RefSeq and is a predicted model, not a curated record. NCBI's taxonomy places the organism in Eukaryota, Viridiplantae, Streptophyta, Magnoliopsida, Poales, Poaceae. The transcript has 7 exons.
AUGCCCUUGCCGUGACCAACCUGGAUAACUGAUUUGCGUCCGUGUUCCGAAUCCUUCAUGGCAGCCAUGGCUUCGUGGGUGCCUGCACACACGCACACAGGCAACCAUGGUUUCUACGUGGGUGCCUGUAAGAACCCUCCAGAGAUGAGGAAAGGUCGAACGGAAUUUGCCGAGCAGGGAUUCGUUGGUGAGGGCCCCAUUGAUGAUGAGAAAUGUGCAGAUUGAAGACUCAUGAUAGAGCCAGGAAGCAAGAUAGCAGAUUCACCUCGUUGGGGAAAGAUAGGGGGUAGGGGACGGUGCAGCCGGCGACGGUCGAGCCCUCUGCUCGGCAUGUUCGCACGAUGGGGACGCCGAAUGGCAGCAGACCCGGCGUGUUCGCGCGAUGGGACGAUGGAUGGCGGCGGCGGCGGCGUCUUGGCGCUAUGGGCCGACGGAUGGCCGCGGCUCGCGCUACGUGAGGGCGGCGUCGACCGCUUCGAGGAUGACGCGGCAUCCCCUCCCUCCGCGUGACACUCCAGGUGACGGGGCGGAGGCAGCUCCGUGCGAGGGGAGUGUGGCGUCAAUGGGUUUACGGUGGCGGUGCUCGUGCGUCGGGACGACCCGGAUUGAUGGAGGUAACGCGGGGCAGGGGAACCGUCAGCCGCGACCCGCGGUGGGAGUCAGGCGGCGGCGGUAGGGUGGGGCCCGCGCGUUGGCCGUGGCCGCGGUGCAUCCGCAGCCUCUGCGGGAGUCGGGGUGGGGAGGUCGCGGAUCCGCGGCGCCAGCACCACUGCUGGAGUAGCGACGGGGAGAUAGCGGAUCUGCGCCGCGCGAUGGGCAACAAGGCGGCGCUGGCGGAAGAUGGAGGACGGCGCGGUUGGGGAUGGGGAGGAGGGAAGCGGCGGUGUGGACUCUAGGGGCAGGGAUCGGACGAUCCAGCGAUGAACAGAUUAAUCUGACGGUCGAAAAUUUGUAGAGGAACUUACGAUAGGGGAGGGACUAGGAUGUUUGUGGGCGCGGAGGCGACAACCACCGAGCCAGGAGCGCCGGAGGAGAAAGGAGAGGUGGUGUGGAGAUGGCAGCGCCUGUGGCGGAGGGGGCGGCGGCCGCGGCCGCGGUGGCUUUGCGGGCCGUGCUGGCGCGGGCAGGGAGAGCGGCGGAGCGGUCGGGCCGCGCGUCGGAAGCAGCGCGGGUUGUCGCGGUGGGGAAGACCAAGCCCGUCUGCGGCAGCUCUACGACGCCGGACAUCGCUGCUUCGGCGAGAAUUACGUGCAGGAGAUUGUCACCAAGGCUCCCCAGCUUCCGGAAGAUAUCCGGUGGCAUUUCAUUGGCCACUUGCAAAGCAACAAAGUGAAACCACUGUUAGCUGGUGUUCCAAAUCUUGACAUGGUUGAGGGUGUGGAUAAUGAAAAGGUUGCCAAUCACCUUGACCGUGCUGUCAAUAGCCUGGGAAGGGAGCCUUUGAAAGUACUUGUUCAAGUGAACACUAGUGGAGAAGAAUCAAAAUCAGGUAUCGAUCCCUCCAGAUGCGUUGAGCUUGCUAAGCAUGUGAAACUAGCAUGCCCACACCUGAUAUUUUCAGGUCUGAUGACAAUAGGAAUGAAAGACUACUCAUCAACACCAGAAAAUUUUAAGGCACUGGUAGAUUGUAAGAUUGAAGUUUGCAAGGCCCUUGAGAUACCGCCAGAACAGUUUGAGCUCUCCAUGGGAAUGUCCGGUGAUUUUGAGCAAGCGAUAGAGAUGGGCAGCACGAAUGUGAGAAUUGGAUCAACCAUUUUUGGGCCAAGGGAGUAUCCAAAUAAAAAACAGAAGUAGUGAGAUUCAACGCAUAAGCAUUAUCUCAAUACGCAAUCCUCACAAGUCUGUUCCAUCUACCUCUUACUGACAUCUUGCCUUUGUAAGCAUGACGCUUUGUAAAUGCACAUGUGAAUAUGUAAUAUCUGCAGAUUUACAACUCCAUACGCAGCUUGUAAAGGAAAUUUUUAUGCUUGA